ACUCAAAGGAAUUGACGGGGACCCGCACAAGCAGCGGAGCGUGUGGUUUAAUUCGUUGCUACACGAAGAACCUUACCUAGGUUUGACAUAUAGGUUGUAGGGAACUGAAAAGGGACCGACCCUUCGGGGAGCCUAUACAGGUGUUGCAUGGCUGUCGUCAGCUCGUGUCGUGAGAUGUUCGGUUAAGUCCGCUAACGAGCGCAACCCUCGCCGUAUGUUACAAGUGUCAUACGGGACUGCCGGUAAAAAGUCGGAGGAAGGUGGGGAUGAUGUCAAGUCAGCAUGACCUUUAUAUCUAGGGCUACACACACGCUACAAUGGUCUGUACAAUGGGUAGCCAAGCCGCGAGGCGGAGCCAAUCCUGAAAGCAGGCCUCAGUUCAGAUUGCAGUCUGCAACCCGACUGCAUGAAGCCGGAGUUGCUAGUAACCGCAGGUCAGCAAUACUGCGGUGAAUACGUUCCCGGGUCUUGCACACACCGCCCGU
This 485-nucleotide ribosomal RNA is filed under the name uncultured bacterium. RNAcentral's name for it is "bacterial SSU rRNA". It matches the Rfam family "Bacterial small subunit ribosomal RNA", at positions 899 to 1397 of the family's 1533-position model. The record is from RNAcentral.